UUUAGGUAGCGCCUCGUGAAUUCAUCUCCGGGGGUAGAGCACUGUUUCGGCUAGGGGGCCAUCCCGGCUUACCAACCCGAUGCAAACUGCGAAUACCGGAGAAUGUUAUCACGGGAGACACACGGCGGGUGCUAACGUCCGUCGUGAAGAGGGAAACAACCCAGACCGCCAGCUAAGGUCCCAAAGUCAUGGUUAAGUGGGAAACGAUGUGGGAAGGCCCAGACAGCCAGGAUGUUGGCUUAGAAGCAGCCAUCAUUUAAAGAAAGCGUAAUAGCUCACUGGUCGAGUCGGCCUGCGCGGAAGAUGUAACGGGGCUAAACCAUGCACCGAAGCUGCGGCAGCGACGCUGAUGCGUUGUUGGGUAGGGGAGCGUUCUGUAAGCCUGCGAAGGUGGCCUGUGAGGGUUGCUGGAGGUAUCAGAAGUGCGAAUGCUGACAUAAGUAACGAUAAAGCGGGUGAAAAGCCCGCUCGCCGGAAGACCAAGGGUUCCUGUCCAACGUUAAUCGGGGCAGGGUGAGUCGACCCCUAAGGCGAGGCCGAAAGGCGUAGUCGAUGGGAAACGGGUUAAUAUUCCCGUACUUGGUGUUACUGCGAAGGGGGGACGGAGAAGGCUAUGUUGGCCGGGCGACGGUUGUCCCGGUUUAAGCGUGUAGGUGUGUGUUCCAGGUAAAUCCGGUUCACUUUAACACUGAGGCGUGAUGACGAGGCACUACGGUGCUGAAGCAACAAAUGCCCUGCUUCCAGGAAAAGCCUCUAAGCAUCAGGUAACAUCAAAUCGUACCCCAAACCGACACAGGUGGUCAGGUAGAGAAUACCAAGGCGCUUGAGAGAACUCGGGUGAAGGAACUAGGCAAAAUGGUGCCGUAACUUCGGGAGAAGGCACGCUGACACGUAGGUGAAGUGAUUUACUCAUGGAGCUGAAGUCAGUCGAAGAUACCAGCUGGCUGCAACUGUUUAUUAAAAACACAGCACUGUGCAAACACGAAAGUGGACGUAUACGGUGUGACGCCUGCCCGGUGCCGGAAGGUUAAUUGAUGGGGUCAGCGCAAGCGAAGCUCCUGAUCGAAGCCCCGGUAAACGGCGGCCGUAACUAUAACGGUCCUAAGGUAGCGAAAUUCCUUGUCGGGUAAGUUCCGACCUGCACGAAUGGCGUAAUGAUGGCCAGGCUGUCUCCACCCGAGACUCAGUGAAAUUGAACUCGCUGUGAAGAUGCAGUGUACCCGCGGCAAGACGGAAAGACCCCGUGAACCUUUACUAUAGCUUGACACUGAACAUUGAGCCUUGAUGUGUAGGAUAGGUGGGAGGCUUUGAAGUGUGGACGCCAGUCUGCAUGGAGCCGACCUUGAAAUACCACCCUUUAAUGUUUGAUGUUCUAACGUGGACCCGUUACCCGGGUUGCGGACAGUGUCUGGUGGGUAGUUUGACUGGGGCGGUCUCCUCCUAAAGAGUAACGGAGGAGCACGAAGGUUGGCUAAUCCUGGUCGGACAUCAGGAGGUUAGUGCAAUGGCAUAAGCCAGCUUGACUGCGAGCGUGACGGCGCGAGCAGGUGCGAAAGCAGGUCAUAGUGAUCCGGUGGUUCUGAAUGGAAGGGCCAUCGCUCAACGGAUAAAAGGUACUCCGGGGAUAACAGGCUGAUACCGCCCAAGAGUUCAUAUCGACGGCGGUGUUUGGCACCUCGAUGUCGGCUCAUCACAUCCUGGGGCUGAAGUAGGUCCCAAGGGUAUGGCUGUUCGCCAUUUAAAGUGGUACGCGAGCUGGGUUUAGAACGUCGUGAGACAGUUCGGUCCCUAUCUGCCGUGGGCGCUGGAGAACUGAGGGGGGCUGCUCCUAGUACGAGAGGACCGGAGUGGACGCAUCACUGGUGUUCGGGUUGUCAUGCCAAUGGCACUGCCCGGUAGCUAAAUGCGGAAGAGAUAAGUGCUGAAAGCAUCUAAGCACGAAACUUGCCCCGA
RNAcentral lists this ribosomal RNA (1953 nucleotides) under Salmonella enterica subsp. enterica serovar Senftenberg. RNAcentral's name for it is "partial 23S ribosomal RNA". It matches the Rfam family "Bacterial large subunit ribosomal RNA", at positions 869 to 2802 of the family's 2925-position model. The record is from RNAcentral. Lineage: Bacteria; Pseudomonadati; Pseudomonadota; Gammaproteobacteria; Enterobacterales; Enterobacteriaceae.